This 1915-nucleotide ribosomal RNA is filed under the name Florenciella parvula. Its description in RNAcentral is "partial Bacterial large subunit ribosomal RNA". It matches the Rfam family "Bacterial large subunit ribosomal RNA", at positions 1 to 1982 of the family's 2925-position model. The record is from RNAcentral. Lineage: Eukaryota; Dictyochophyceae; Florenciellales.
CAAGAAAUUAAGGGCUUAUGGGGGAUACCUUGGCAUUCAGAAGCGAUGAAGGACGUGGCUACCUGCGAUAUUCUUCGGGGAGCUGGAAGCAAGCUUUGAUCCGGAGGUCUCCGAAUGAGGCAACUCCAAGAACUACUUAUUGAAUACAUAGAUAAGAAAGAGUGAACCCAGGGAAUUGAAACAUCUUAGUACCUGGAGGAAAAGAAAGUAAAAACGAUUCCCUUAGUAGCGGCGAGCGAACUGGGAUCAGCCUAAACUAAUUAAUUAUUAGGGUUGUGGGACAGCGGCAUCAGACUGGAUUAGCUAGAUGAACUAAUUGGAAUAUUAGACCAUAGAAAGUGAAAGUCUUGUAAUCGAAAGCUAUGAAUACUGCGCUGUAUCCCGAGUAGCAUGGAGCACGUGAAAUUCCGUGUGAAUCUGUGAGGACCACCUCAUAAGGCUAAAUAUUCCUGAAUGACCGAUAGUGAAACAGUACCGCGAGGGAAAGGUGAAAAGAACCCCGGGAGGGGAGUGAAAUAGAACAUGAAACCAUAAGCUUACAAGCAGUAGGAGAACGACUUAACGUUUGACUGCGUUCCUGUUGAAGAAUGAGCCGGCGACUUAUAGGUAAUGGCUUGGUUAAGAUAGUGAAUAUCGGAGCCGUAGCGAAAGCGAGUCUGAAAAGGGCGUUUGUCAUUAUUUAUAGACCCGAACCCGGAUGAUCUAACCAUGGCCAGGUUGAAACUUAGGUGAUACUAAGUGGAGGACCCAACCGACUGAUGUUGAAAAAUCAGCGGAUGAGUUGUGGUUAGGGGUGAAAUGCCAAUCGAAUCCGGAGCUAGCUGGUUCUCCCCGAAAUGCGUUUUGGCGCAGCGGUUAAUGUUAUAAUUUAGGGGUAAAGCACUGUUUCGGUGCGGGCUGGUAAAACGGUACCAAAUCGAGGCAAACUAAGAAUACUAAAUGAAUAAUUAACCAGUAAGACUGUGGGGGAUAAGCUCCAUUGUCAAGAGGGAAACAGCCCAGACCACCAGCUAAGGCCCCUAAAUAAUUACUAAGUGAUAAAGGAGGUGGGAAUGCUUAGACAACCAGGAGGUUUGCUUAGAAGCAGCAAUCCUUUAAAGAGUGCGUAAUAGCUCACUGGUCGAGUAGGCCUGCGCCGAAAAUGAAUGGGGCUAAGUAAUUUGCCGAAGCUGUGGGAUUUUAUAAUCGGUAGGGGAGCGUUCUGUUAUAGGUUGAAGCAUUAGCGAAAGCGGGUGUGGACGAAGCAGAAGUGAGAAUGUCGGCUUGAGUAGCGAAAACAUUGGUGAGAAUCCAAUGCCCCGAAAACCUAAGGUUUCCUUCGGAAGGCUCGUCCGCGGAGGGUAAGUCAGGACCUAAGGCCAGGCCGAGAGGCGUAGUCGAUGGACAACAGGUUAAUAUUCCUGUACUAUUUUUUAUUGACAACGAGGGACGGAGAAGGAUAGGCUAGCUGGAUGUUGGUUACCAGUUUAAGCGUUCGAGGUGUUGAGAAGUAGCGAAAAUACUUUGAGCUGAGGCGUGAAUACGAGAUGCUACGGCAUUUAAGUAGUUGAUUUCAUACUUCCUAGAAAAGCUUGCACUGUCAUAAAUAAAAAAUACCUGUACUAUAAACCGACACAGGUGGGUAAGUAGAGAAUACUAAGGGGCGCGAGAUAACUCUCUCUAAGGAACUCGGCAAAAUAACCCCGUAACUUUGGGAGAAGGGGUACCUUGAGAAAGGUUGCAAUAACCAGGUCCAAGCGACUGUUUACCAAAAACACAGGUCUCCGCUAAGUUGUAAAACGACGUAUGGAGGCUGACGCCUGCCCAGUGCCGGAAGGUUAAGGAAGUCGGUUCAAUGCUGAUAACUGAAGCCCCGGUGAACGGCGGCCGUAACAAUAACGGUCCUAAGGUAGCGAAAUUCCUUGUCGGGUAAGUU